CUGCGGCAGGCCUAACACAUGCAAGUCGAGCGGUAACAGAGAUAGCUUGCUAUCUGCUGACGAGCGGCGGACGGGUGAGUAAUGCUUGGGAAUAUGCCUUUUGGUGGGGGACAACAGUUGGAAACGACUGCUAAUACCGCAUAACGUCUACGGACCAAAGUGGGGGACCUUCGGGCCUCACGCCAAGAGAUUAGCCCAAGUGGGAUUAGCUAGUUGGUAAGGUAAUGGCUUACCAAGGCAACGAUCCCUAGCUGGUUUGAGAGGAUGAUCAGCCACACUGGAACUGAGACACGGUCCAGACUCCUACGGGAGGCAGCAGUGGGGAAUAUUGCACAAUGGGCGCAAGCCUGAUGCAGCCAUGCCGCGUGUGUGAAGAAGGCCUUCGGGUUGUAAAGCACUUUCAGUCAGGAGGAAAGGUUAGUAGUUAAUAGCUGCUAGCUGUGACGUUACUGACAGAAGAAGCACCGGCUAACUCCGUGCCAGCAGCCGCGGUAAUACGGAGGGUGCGAGCGUUAAUCGGAAUUACUGGGCGUAAAGCGUACGCAGGCGGUUUGUUAAGCGAGAUGUGAAAGCCCCGGGCUCAACCUGGGAACUGCAUUUCGAACUGGCANACUAAAGUGUGAUAGA
Molecule: ribosomal RNA, 627 nt
Filed under: marine gamma proteobacterium SWAT7
Lineage: Bacteria; Pseudomonadati; Pseudomonadota; Gammaproteobacteria
Description: bacterial SSU rRNA
Rfam family: Bacterial small subunit ribosomal RNA
Source: RNAcentral